This 889-nucleotide ribosomal RNA is filed under the name uncultured bacterium. RNAcentral's name for it is "bacterial SSU rRNA". It matches the Rfam family "Bacterial small subunit ribosomal RNA", at positions 505 to 1397 of the family's 1533-position model. The record is from RNAcentral.
GUGCCAGCCGCCGCGGUAAUACGGAGGAUGCAAGCGUUAUCCGGAUUUAUUGGGUUUAAAGGGUGCGUAGGCUGUUCGACAAGUCAGGGGUGAAAGCCCGGCGCCUAACGCCGGAACUGCCUUUGAUACUGCCGAGCUGGAAUACGGAUGCCGUGGGAGGAAUGAGUAGUGUAGCGGUGAAAUGCAUAGAUAUUACUCAGAACACCGAUUGCGAAGGCAUCUCACGAAUCCGUCAUUGACGCUGAGGCACGAAAGCGUGGGGAUCAAACAGGAUUAGAUACCCUGGUAGUCCACGCAGUAAACGAUGAUAACUAACCGUCGGCGAUACACAGUCGGUGGCCAAGCGAAAGCGAUAAGUUAUCCACCUGGGGAGUACGUUCGCAAGAAUGAAACUCAAAGGAAUUGACGGGGGCCCGCACAAGCGGAGGAACAUGUGGUUUAAUUCGAUGAUACGCGAGGAACCUUACCCGGGCUCGAACGGUGCAGGAAGGAUCAAGAGAUUGUGACGCCCUUCGGGGCCUGCAUCGAGGUGCUGCAUGGUUGUCGUCAGCUCGUGUCGUGAGAUGUUGGCUUAAGUGCCAUAACGAGCGCAACCCUUGUCGCCAGUUACCAGCAAGUAAAGUUGGGGACUCUGGCGAGACUGCCACCGCAAGGUGUGAGGAAGGCGGGGAUGACGUCAAAUCAGCACGGCCCUUACGUCCGGGGCGACACACGUGUUACAAUGGCGACUACAGAGGGAGGCCACCUGGCGACAGGGAGCAGAUCUCGAAAAGUCGUCUCAGUUCGGAUCGGAGUCUGCAACUCGACUCCGUGAAGCUGGAUUCGCUAGUAAUCGCGCAUCAGCCAUGGCGCGGUGAAUACGUUCCCGGGCCUUGUACACACCGCCCGU